This 222-nucleotide ribosomal RNA is filed under the name uncultured bacterium. Its description in RNAcentral is "partial 16S ribosomal RNA". It matches the Rfam family "Bacterial small subunit ribosomal RNA", at positions 524 to 744 of the family's 1533-position model. The record is from RNAcentral.
UACGUAGGGGGCUAGCGUUGUCCGGAAUCAUUGGGCGUAAAGCGCGUGUAGGCGGUCCGGUAAGUCCGCUGUGAAAGUCGGGGGCUCAACCCUCGAAUGCCGGUGGAUACUGUCGGGCUAGAGUGCGGAAGAGGCGAGUGGAAUUCCUGGUGUAGCGGUGAAAUGCGCAGAUAUCAGGAGGAACACCAAUUGGCGAAGGCAGCUCGCUGGGACGUUACUGAC